AUGAACGGAGCUAGGGCUCCAGGGGUGCGUUGGAUCAAUCCAGGCCAUCUGAUCUGAUUCUCAUGUCACACGUCCAAAGUGAUUACCAUGCGUGUGCACGCAUUGACUGCAAUGUUUGAUGGAAGCGCGCGUUUGGCCAUCAGAUCUGCCACCUCAAUUAAUGAGGGAGAUCUGAUGGCCCUUGUUCUUUUUUAUUUUCUUUUUAUUUUCUAAUUUUUUAUUUAAUCAUUUUAUUUUGAUUAAUUCAUAUUAAUUUCAUUUUUAGUCCAAAAAGUAUGGGACUUUCACCAAAAAUCUUCAAAUAUUUUCCUCUUUCAUUUUUUGAAUUAAAAUUAUUUUUUGGAUUG
RNAcentral lists this long non-coding RNA (347 nucleotides) under Lathyrus oleraceus (garden pea). Its description in RNAcentral is "Pisum sativum (pea) long non-coding RNA (PSAT_LNC006589)". Lineage: Eukaryota; Viridiplantae; Streptophyta; Magnoliopsida; Fabales; Fabaceae. The record is from RNAcentral.